CGUAGGGUGCGAGCGUUAAUCGGAAUUACUGGGCGUAAAGCGUGCGCAGGCGGUUUUGUAAGACAGGCGUGAAAUCCCCGGGCUCAACCUGGGAACUGCGCUUGUGACUGCAAGGCUAGAGUACGGCAGAGGGGGUGGAAUUCCACGUGUAGCAGUGAAAUGCGUAGAGAUGUGGAGGAACACCAAUGGCGAAGGCAGCCCCCUGGGUCGAUACUGACGCUCAUGCACGAAAGCGUGGGUAGCAAACAGGAUUAGAUACCCUGGUAGUCCAACGCCCUAAACGAUGUCAACUAGGUGUUGGGUGGGUAAAACCAUUUAGUACCGGAGCUAACGCGUGAAGUUGACCGCCUGGGGAGUACGGCGCAAGGUUA
This 371-nucleotide ribosomal RNA is filed under the name uncultured organism. RNAcentral describes it as "bacterial SSU rRNA". It matches the Rfam family "Bacterial small subunit ribosomal RNA", at positions 526 to 896 of the family's 1533-position model. The record is from RNAcentral.